RNAcentral lists this ribosomal RNA (274 nucleotides) under uncultured bacterium. RNAcentral's name for it is "partial 16S ribosomal RNA". It matches the Rfam family "Bacterial small subunit ribosomal RNA", at positions 523 to 796 of the family's 1533-position model. The record is from RNAcentral.
AGACAGAGGGUGCAAGCGUUAAUCGGAAUUACUGGGCGUAAAGCGUACGUAGGCGGUUAUUUAAGUCUGAUGUGAAAGCCCCGGGCUUAACUUGGGAACUGCAUUUGAAACUGGGUAACUAGAGUUUAGUAGAGGGGAGUGGAAUUUCAGGUGUAGCGGUGAAAUGCGUAGAGAUCUGAAGGAACACCAGUGGCGAAGGCGACUCCCUGGACUAAAACUGACGCUGAGGUACGAAAGCGUGGGUAGCAAACAGGAUUAGAAACCCUAGUAGUCC